AUUGAACGCUGGCGGCAUGCUUUACACAUGCAAGUCGAACGGUAACAGGGAGCUUGCUCCGCUGACGAGUGGCGAACGGGUGAGUAAUGCAUCGGAACGUACCGUGUAAUGGGGGGAUAACGUAGCGAAAGUUACGCUAAUACCGCAUACGCCCUGAGGGGGAAAGUGGGGGGACCGCAAGGCCUCACGUUAUACGAGCGGCCGAUGUCGGAUUAGCUAGUUGGUGGGGUAAAGGCCUACCAAGGCGACGAUCCGUAGCGGGUCUGAGAGGAUGAUCCGCCACACUGGGACUGAGACACGGCCCAGACUCCUACGGAGGCAGCAGUGGGGGAUAUUGGACAAUGGGCGAAAGCCUGAUCCAGCAAUGCCGCGUGAGUGAUGAAGGCCCUAGGGUUGUAAAGCUCUUUUACCCGGGAUGAUAAUGACAGUACCGGGAGAAUAAGCUACCGGCUAACUCCGUGCCAGCAGCCGCGGUAAU
Molecule: ribosomal RNA, 478 nt
Filed under: uncultured bacterium
Lineage: Bacteria
Description: bacterial SSU rRNA
Rfam family: Bacterial small subunit ribosomal RNA
Source: RNAcentral